AUUCCAUGAGGUGGGCAUUUCCUCAACAUUUCCUUAUACCGCUCCCAAGCAUCGUACAUAGUUUCAGACUCUAGCUACACAAAGGAUGAGAUGUCACUCAUCAAUUU
Molecule: small nucleolar RNA, 107 nt
Organism: Dioscorea cayenensis subsp. rotundata (Guinea yam)
Lineage: Eukaryota; Viridiplantae; Streptophyta; Magnoliopsida; Dioscoreales; Dioscoreaceae
Source: RefSeq, a predicted model, not a curated record